RNAcentral lists this ribosomal RNA (253 nucleotides) under uncultured bacterium. Its description in RNAcentral is "partial 16S ribosomal RNA". It matches the Rfam family "Bacterial small subunit ribosomal RNA", at positions 524 to 776 of the family's 1533-position model. The record is from RNAcentral.
UACGUAGGGGGCAAGCGUUGUCCGGAUUCAUUGGGCGUAAAGAGCGUGUAGGCGGCCAGGUAGGUCGGUUGUGAAAACUGGAGGCUCAACCUUCAGAGGUCGACCGAAACCAUCUGGCUAGAGUCCGGGAGAGGAGAGUGGAAUUCCUGGUGUAGCGGUGAAAUGCGCAGAUAUCGGGAGGAACACCAGUGGCGAAGGCGGCUUCCUGGCCUGUUCUUGACGCUGAGGCGCGAAAGCUAGGGGAGCAAACGGG